Non-coding RNA from Pelobates cultripes (western spadefoot toad), 427 nucleotides. The record is from the annotation of a GenBank genome assembly. Lineage: Eukaryota; Metazoa; Chordata; Amphibia; Anura; Pelobatidae.
CACACACACUGACAGACACACUCACUCACACACAAACUCACAUAGUCACAUAGUCACACACACACUGACAGACACACAUACUCACACACACACUGACAGACACACUCACUCACACACACACUGACAGACUCACUCACUCACACACACACUGACAGACAUACUCACUCACACACACACUCACUCACACAUACACAAACUCAGUCACAUAGUCACACACACACUGACAGACACACAUACUCACACACACACUGACAGACACACUCACUCACACACACACACUGACAGACACUCACUCACACACACACACACACACACUGACAGACACACUCACUCACACACACACUGACAGACAUACUCACUCACACACACACACACACACAAACUCACAGUCACAUAGUCACACACACACUGACAGACACACAUACUC